Molecule: transfer RNA, 73 nt
Filed under: Chloroflexota bacterium
Lineage: Bacteria; Bacillati; Chloroflexota
Description: Chloroflexi bacterium (anaerobic digester metagenome) tRNA-Gln
Rfam family: tRNA
About the family: Transfer RNA (tRNA) molecules are approximately 80 nucleotides in length. Their secondary structure includes four short double-helical elements and three loops (D, anti-codon, and T loops). Further hydrogen bonds mediate the characteristic L-shaped molecular structure. tRNAs have two regions of fundamental functional importance: the anti-codon, which is responsible for specific mRNA codon recognition, and the 3' end, to which the tRNAs corresponding amino acid is attached (by aminoacyl-tRNA synthetases). tRNAs cope with the degeneracy of the genetic code in two manners: having more than one tRNA (with a specific anti-codon) for a particular amino acid; and 'wobble' base-pairing, i.e. permitting non-standard base-pairing at the 3rd anti-codon position.
Source: RNAcentral
UGGGGUGUCGCCAAGUGGUUAAGGCGCCGGACUUUGAAUCCGGUAUUCGGAAGUUCGAAUCUUCCCACCCCAG